Molecule: ribosomal RNA, 440 nt
Filed under: uncultured bacterium
Lineage: Bacteria
Description: partial 16S ribosomal RNA
Rfam family: Bacterial small subunit ribosomal RNA
Source: RNAcentral
CCUACGGGUGGCAGCAGUGGGGGAUAUUGCACAAUGGGGGAAACCCUGAUGCAGCGACGCCGCGUGUAGGAAGACGGUCCUCUGGAUUGUAAACUACUGUCCCCAGGGACGAAGAUGACGGUACCUGGGGAGGAAGCUCCGGCUAACUACGUGCCAGCAGCCGCGGUAAUACGUAGGGAGCGAGCGUUGUCCGGAAGUCCUGGGGGAAAAGGGAGCGUAGGCGGGGAUGCAAGUUGGGUGUUAAAUCUACCGGCUCAACUGGUAGUCGCACUCAAAACUGCAGCUCUUGAGUGAAGUAGAGGCAGGCGGAAUUCCUAGUGUAGCGGUGAAAUGCGUAGAUAUUAGGAGGAACACCAGUGGCGAAGGCGGCCUGCUGGGCUUUUACUGACGCUGAGGCUCGAAAGUGUGGGGAGCAAACAGGAUUAGAUACCCUGGUAGUC